This 464-nucleotide ribosomal RNA is filed under the name uncultured bacterium. Its description in RNAcentral is "partial 16S ribosomal RNA". It matches the Rfam family "Bacterial small subunit ribosomal RNA", at positions 28 to 507 of the family's 1533-position model. The record is from RNAcentral.
GACGAACGCUGGCGGCGUGCUUAACACAUGCAAGUCGAGCGGAAAGGCCCUUUCGGGGGUACUCGAGCGGCGAACGGGUGAGUAACACGUGAGUAAUCUGCCCUUCACUUGGGGAUAACCUCCGGAAACGGUGGCUAAUACCCGAUACGACCAUUCCUCGCAUGAGGUGGUGGUGGAAAGUUUUUCGGUGGGGGAUGUGCUCGCUGCCUAUCAGCUUGUUGGUGGGGUAAUGGCCUACCAAGGCUUCGACGGGUAGCCGGCCUGAGAGGGUGACCGGCCACACUGGGACUGAGACACGGCCCAGACUCCUACGGGAGGCAGCAGUGGGGAAUAUUGGACAAUGGGCGGAAGCCUGAUCCAGCAACGCCGCGUGAGGGAUGACGGCCUUCGGGUUGUAAACCUCUUUCACCUGUGACGAAGCGAAAGUGACGGUAGCAGGAGAAGAAGCACCGGCCAACUACGUG